RNAcentral lists this ribosomal RNA (470 nucleotides) under uncultured bacterium. Its description in RNAcentral is "bacterial SSU rRNA". It matches the Rfam family "Bacterial small subunit ribosomal RNA", at positions 28 to 508 of the family's 1533-position model. The record is from RNAcentral.
GACGAACGCUGGCGGCGUGCUUAACACAUGCAAGUCGAACGAGGCCCAUUCAGUAGCAAUACUGAUGAAGGCCUAGUGGCGAACGGGUGAGUAACACGUGAGAAACCUAUCCUGGUCUCUGGGAUAACAGUCGGAAACAACUGCUAAUACCGGAUGCCGUCGGAGCGCUGCAUGGCGCACUGACGAAAGGGUUACUGGAUCAGGAGGGUCUCGCGGCCUAUCAGCUUGUUGGUGGGGUAAUGGCCUACCAAGGCAUCGACGGGUAGCUGGUCUGAGAGGAUGAUCAGCCACACUGGGACUGAGACACGGCCCAGACUCCUACGGGAGGCAGCAGUGGGGAAUCUUGCGCAAUGGGCGAAAGCCUGACGCAGCAACGCCGCGUGCGGGAAGAAGGCCUUCGGGUUGUAAACCGCUUUCAGAAGGAACGAAACUGACGGUACUUUCAGAAGAAGGUGCGGCCAACUACGUGC